UACGUAGGGUGCAAGCGUUGUCCGGAUUUAUUGGGUUUAAAGGGUGCGUAGGCGGGCUAUUAAGUCAGUGGUGAAAUCCAGCAGCUCAACUGUUGAUGUGCCAUUGAUACUGGUAGCCUUGAGUACAGAUGAGGUAGGCGGAAUUGACAGUGUAGCGGUGAAAUGCAUAGAUAUUGUCAAGAACUCCGAUAGCGAAGGCAGCUUACUGGGCUGUAACUGACGCUGAUGCACGAAAGUGUGGGGAUCAAACAGG
RNAcentral lists this ribosomal RNA (253 nucleotides) under uncultured bacterium. Its description in RNAcentral is "partial 16S ribosomal RNA". It matches the Rfam family "Bacterial small subunit ribosomal RNA", at positions 524 to 776 of the family's 1533-position model. The record is from RNAcentral.